This 253-nucleotide ribosomal RNA is filed under the name uncultured bacterium. RNAcentral's name for it is "partial 16S ribosomal RNA". It matches the Rfam family "Bacterial small subunit ribosomal RNA", at positions 524 to 776 of the family's 1533-position model. The record is from RNAcentral.
GACAGAGGUCCCGAGCGUUAGGCGGAAUCACUGGGCUUAAAGCGUGUGUAGGCGGAUUUGUAAGUACCUUGUGAAAUCCCACGGCUUAACCGUGGAACUGCUUGGUAUACUGGUUGUCUUGGGCCAUCUAGGGGCUACUGGAACAAACGGUGGAGCGGUGAAAUGCGUAGAUAUCGUUUGGAACGCCAAUGGUGAAAACAAGUAGCUGGGGAUGUGCCGACGCUGAGACACGAAAGCCAGGGGAGCGAACGGG